Pan troglodytes (chimpanzee) is the source of this 3546-nucleotide RNA transcript. It is a transcript of the gene named KAT8 regulatory NSL complex subunit 2, with no coding region annotated. The transcript is spliced from 11 exons. The record is from RefSeq and is a predicted model, not a curated record. Lineage: Eukaryota; Metazoa; Chordata; Mammalia; Primates; Hominidae.
GGGCGAGGCCGAUCUGGGAGCCGCUGGCGCCACUAGAGGAGGGUGAGCGGCGCGGCAGAGUACGGCGCAGCGCAGCUCCCGAGGUUUUGGUUAUGAACAGGAUUCGGAUUCACGUCUUGCCAACCAAUCGGGGGAGGAUCACUCCAGUGCCCAGGUCUCAGGAACCUCUGUCUUGUGCAUUCACUCAUCGUCCAUGCUCUCACCCUCGUCUGGAGGGGCAGGAGUUUUGCAUUAAGCAUAUCCUUGAAGACAAGAAUGCACCCUUCAAGCAGUGUAGUUAUAUAUCGACGAAGAAUGGAAAAAGAUGUCCCAAUGCUGCCCCAAAGCCAGAGAAGAAAGAUGGGGUGUCCUUCUGUGCUGAACAUGUCCGUAGGAAUGCCCUGGCACUUCACGCUCAAAUGAAGAAGACCAACCCAGGGCCUGUGGGUGAAACACUCCUGUGCCAGCUGAGCUCAUAUGCUAAGACAGAGCUGGGGUCUCAGACUCCAGAAAGUAGUCGCAGUGAAGCCAGCCGAAUACUAGAUGAAGACAGCUGGAGUGAUGGGGAGCAGGAACCCAUUACUGUGGAUCAGACAUGGAGAGGUGACCCUGACAGUGAAGCUGAUAGCAUAGACAGUGAUCAAGAAGAUCCCCUAAAACACGCUGGUGUCUACACGGCAGAAGAAGUGGCCCUGAUUAUGCGUGAAAAGCUAAUUCGUUUGCAGUCGUUGUAUAUUGAUCAGUUUAAACGACUUCAGCAUCUGCUCAAGGAGAAGAAGCGCCGAUACUUACAUAAUCGCAAAGUGGAACAUGAAGCUCUAGGCAAUAGUCUCCUGACUGGCCCAGAGGGACUUUUGGCCAAAGAACGAGAGAACUUAAAGCGAUUAAAAUGUCUGCGUCGAUACCGCCAGCGCUAUGGAGUGGAAGCCUUACUGCAUAGGCAGUUGAAGGAACGGAGAAUGCUGGCCACAGAUGGUGCCGCCCAACAGGCCCAUACCACUCGUUCCAGUCAGAGGUGCUUGGCCUUUGUGGAUGAUGUUCGUUGUUCCAAUCAGUCUCUUCCAAUGACCAGACACUGCCUUACCCAUAUUUGUCAGGAUACGAAUCAGGUUCUCUUCAAGUGCUGCCAGGGAUCUGAAGAGGUACCCUGCAACAAACCUGUUCCUGUAAGCCUCUCUGAGGAUCCCUGCUGCCCACUGCAUUUCCAGUUGCCUCCUCAGAUGUAUAAGCCCGAGCAGGUACUGUCUGUGCCAGACGAUCUGGAAGCCGGCCCCAUGGAUCUGUACUUGAGUGCUGCUGAGCUUCAGCCCACUGAGAGUUUACCUCUGGAGUUCAGUGAUCCCCUGGCCACGAUGAAUCUACUUUUUGUCUCUGAUUUUGCUUAUUCCGGACAUUUCAUAUCAAUGUAAUAGUAUAUGUAUCCUUUUGUGUCUUGCUUGUUUCACUUAGCAUAAUGUUUUCAAGGUUUAUCCAUACUAUAAUAUGUAUCAAUACUUCAUUCCUUUUUGUGACUGAAUAUUCCAUUGUUUGGAAAUACCACGCUUUAAAAAUUUAUCAGUUGAUGGAUAUUUGUGCUGUUUCUACUUUCUGGCUAUUAAGGAAUAUACUGUUAAGAACUUUUGAGACAGAGUUUCUGUCGGUGGCAUGAGCCACCACGCCCAGCUUAGUUAUCAUUUUUAUAACUUUUUUUUUUUUUUAAUUGGGGUCUUGCUCUGUUGCUCAGGCUGGAGUGCAGUGGCAUGAUCAUGGCUCAGUGCAGCCUCGAACUCCUGGGCUUAAGUGAUCCUCCUGCCUCAGCCUCCCAAGUAGCUGGGACUAUAGGUUUAUGCCACCAUGCCCAGCCAAUUUUUUAUUUUUUGUAUAGAUGAGAUCUCCCUAUGUUGCAUGGGCUGGUCUUCAACUCCUAGGCUCAAGUGAUCCUCUUACCUUGGCCUCAAGUGAUCCUCUUACCUUGGCCUCCCAAAGUGCUGGGAUUACAAGUGUGAACCACUGUGCCUGGCCACUAUAACUUGGCUUUUUUUUUUUAGACUGAGUCUUGUUCUGUUGUUCAAGCUGGAGUGCAGUGAUGUGAUCUCAGCUCACUGCAGCCUCUGCCUUCAGGGUUCAAGUGAUUCUUGUGCUUCACCCUCCUGGGUAGCUGGGACUACAGGUGUGCGCCAGCAGGCCUUGCUGAUUUUUGUAUUUUUUGUAGAGACAGGGUUUCACCAUGUUGGCCAGGCUGGUCUCUAACUCCUGGCCUCAAGUGAUCCACCCACCUUGGCCUCCCAAAGUGCUGGAAUUAUAGGCAUGAUUCACCAUUCCUGGCCUAUAACUGUUAAUGAUAACUUUGGUGAUUUUACUUGUGGGAAGACUAGGCAUCAGAUAUUAAUAUGAGUAAAAACACAGCCGUUCAUUCUGGAUAUUUGCUUGUUUUCUGUGCUUUGAUGCAAGGGUGGUUGGCAAGUAGUAACUUAACACCUUAAUCUUACUACUUUUGAGUUCCUUCUCUCUCAUUCUCUAUUGCUGGUUUUGGAGAUAGUAACAAAACGUGGAUUCUCUUAUUUUAUCUUUAUUUAUUUUUUGAGACGGAGUCUUGGUCUGUCGCCCAGACUGGAGUGCAGUGGCACAAUCUCGGCUCACUGCAACCUUCACCAUCUGGGUUCAAGCAAUUCUCCUGUUCCUGCCUCCCGAGUAGCUGGGAUUACAGGACUUGGAUGUUGUGGGUGAUGGUAUGCAGUGUCCUCCUUCACCUUUGCUUUUUGAUCCUUCACUAACCCUUGAAGAUCAUUUAGUCAAAGAAAUUGCUGAAGACCCAGUGGAUAUUUUGGGCCAGAUGCAGAUGGCUGGAGAUGGGUGCAGAUCCCAGGGAUCUCGAAAUUCUGAGAAAGCCUCUACACCAUUGUCUCAGAGUGGAUUGGCUACUGCAAAUGGGAAGCCAGAACCCACUUCUAUUAGUUGAUAGUUUGGGGAACCAUUUUACUUUGGUGGAUUUAAAUUUCUCGUUCUUCAAAGAAGUAUUUCUGAUCAUCUCUCACAAAACACAGGCAACCCAGACUACCUUGUUUUUCUUCUGGAUUGAGUAUUAUAGUCAAACGUAAAGCCAAAUUUUGAGGACGUGGACUGUGGGUUUCUUCCCAUUCAGGGCAAGGAAGAGAAAGAGAGAUAAUCCCUAUCAAAGCUUCUGGGAUUAUUUGGGACUAUACCUAAAAGGAAAGUGACAUCUUUGUAAUGGGAUUUCCCAAGUCAUGGAUAGAAAUCCACUUAAGUAGCUAGGUGGGAGCUGUCUUUGUGAGUGGUGUCUUUGAGAUACUGAUGGCCCUAAUAUCGGUUAUCUCUAUCUGAAGACCUGCAGUUUAGCUUUUCUUCACCUCUACUUAAUUGGGCAGUCUUUAACCCCUUUCCCUGGUGAACUCUGGCUUUUUAUCCUCUGAGAAAACAGCCCACAGGACUGGGUCCUCCUUAUCCAUCUUGCUUUUAACUUAUGUAAAUUUCUGUGGUUGCUAUCUUAUGUAAAAUAUAGUAAAAAUUUAUUGUAUAUAGUUUCUAUUAAAUGUUAAAGAAAAUGUUAUGAAAAUAUCAAACAGUCAA